ACGGGGUAGGAAUACGUAGGUAACGUACCCUCAGGACGGGGAUAGCCACGGGAAACUGUGGGUAAUACCCGAUGAUCUGGUCUGGAUUGAUGUCCGGAUCAGCAAAGGUGAGAUUCCACCUGAGGAGCGGCUUACGCGAUAUUAGCUUGUUGGUGAGGUAACGGCUCACCAAGGCUGCGAUAUCUAGGGGGUGUGAGAGCAUGGCCCCCACCACUGGGACUGAGAUACUGCCCAGACACCUACGGGUGGCUGCAGUCGAGAAUCUUCGGCAAUGGGCGAAAGCCUGACCGAGCGACGCCGCGUGCGGGACGAAGGCCUUCGGGUUGUAAACCGCUGUCGGGAGGGAUGAAGUGCACGGGGGCUAUCCCCUGUGUUUGACAGAGCUCCGGAGGAAGCACGGGCUAAGUUCGUGCCAGCAGCCGCGGUAAUACGAACUGUGCGAACGUUAUUCGGAAUCACUGGGCUUAAAGGGUGCGUAGGCGGCGCUGUAAGUCAGGUGUGAAAUCCCCCGGCUCAACCGGGGAAUGGCGCUUGAGACUGCAGUGCUUGAGUGAGGUAGGGGUGCAUGGAACUUCCGGUGGAGCGGUG
RNAcentral lists this ribosomal RNA (588 nucleotides) under uncultured Planctomyces sp. RNAcentral describes it as "bacterial SSU rRNA". It matches the Rfam family "Bacterial small subunit ribosomal RNA", at positions 102 to 683 of the family's 1533-position model. The record is from RNAcentral. Lineage: Bacteria; Pseudomonadati; Planctomycetota; Planctomycetia; Planctomycetales; Planctomycetaceae.